AACGAACGCUGGCGGCAGGCUUAACACAUGCAAGUCGAGCGCUCACUUCGGUGGGAGCGGCAGACGGGUGAGUAACGCGUGGGAACCUACCUAGUAGUGCGGAAUAGCUCCUGGAAACGGGAAUUAAUACCGCAUACGCCCUUUGGGGGAAAGAUUUAUCGCUAUUAGAUGGGCCCGCGUUGGAUUAGUUAGUUGGUGGGGUAAUGGCCUACCAAGACGACGAUCUAUAGCUGGUCUGAGAGGAUGAUCAGCCACACUGGGACUGAGACACGGCCCAGACUCCUACGGGAGGCAGCAGUGGGGAAUAUUGGACAAUGGGGGCAACCCUGAUCCAGCCAUGCCGCGUGAGUGAUGAAGGCCUUAGGGUUGUAAAGCUCUUUCGCUAGGGAAGAUAAUGACGGUACCUAGUAAAGAAGCCCCGGCUAACUUCGUGCCAGCAGCCGCGGUAA
RNAcentral lists this ribosomal RNA (449 nucleotides) under uncultured bacterium. Its description in RNAcentral is "bacterial SSU rRNA". It matches the Rfam family "Bacterial small subunit ribosomal RNA", at positions 29 to 523 of the family's 1533-position model. The record is from RNAcentral.